This 378-nucleotide unclassified non-coding RNA is filed under the name plant metagenome. RNAcentral's name for it is "partial contains 5.8S ribosomal RNA, internal transcribed spacer 2, and large subunit ribosomal RNA". The stretch from base 1 to 105 matches the Rfam family "5.8S ribosomal RNA", at positions 50 to 154 of the family's 154-position model. The record is from RNAcentral.
GAAAUGCGAUAAGUAAUGUGAAUUGCAGAAUUCAGUGAAUCAUCGAAUCUUUGAACGCACCUUGCGCUCCUUGGUAUUCCUUGGAGCAUGCCUGUUUGAGUAUCAUGAAAUCUUCAAAGUAAAUCUUUUGUUAACUCAAUUGGUUUCUACUUUGGUAUUGGAGGUCUUUGCAGCUUCACACCUGCUCCUCUUUGUUCAUUAGCUGGAUCUCAGUGUUAUGCUUGGUUCCACUCGGCGUGAUAAGUUAUCUAUCGCUGAGGACACUGUAAAAGGUGGCCAAGGUAAAUGCAGAUGAACCGCUUCUAAUAGUCCAUUGACUUGGACAAUACUUUUAUGAUCUGAUCUCAAAUCAGGUAGGACUACCCGCUGAACUUCAGC